Molecule: long non-coding RNA, 1150 nt
Filed under: Cricetulus griseus (Chinese hamster)
Lineage: Eukaryota; Metazoa; Chordata; Mammalia; Rodentia; Cricetidae
Description: lncRNA (ENSCGRG00015042399.1)
Source: RNAcentral
CGGGUGGGUGAAAGACCCGAGCUAACAUGGGGUUAGCUCGUUAAAUUACAAUAAAGCCUCGUGCAGUUUGCAGCAAGCUCUCGAAUCCGCCUGGUGAUUGGGGUGACCGCGAACCUGGCCUGAGACCCCGGAUACUUGAGUUUUCGGGGGUCUAACAUUUUGGGGGCUCGUCCGCGAUCACCCUUCACCUGAGUGGAUUCGAUCUUGGAGGUAAGAUGAUUCGAGCUCGAAACUUGUAUAUGUUCAAUGUUCUAUGUUUCUUGUUUAGUCUCUUGCUGUUUUGUUUGGUGCCAUGAUUUGUAUUUGAUCUGCGCAGAAUUUGUAUUUGUAAUUCGGACUUCUGGGGAAGACCCUGAAGUCCUGCCCUGGAUGAAAGUCCGAGGGUUGCUUGAUUUGAUCUGCGCAGAAUUUGUAAUUUGUAUUUGAUCUGCGCAGAAUUUGUAAUUGAACCAUAGGGUAAGCAGACUUGCGAGAACCUUGGUUCCACCCUGGAUGAAAGUCCAAGGUUUGGUUGUAAUUUUGGUUUGGGGCACCAUUUCUUUGCCGCGGUUUGUCCUGUCUAAUGUUUGUGCUGUCUAAUGUGCUGUCAUUUGUGUUAUGUGUUUCUUAAGCAUCUCUUUCUGUCCCACAUUGCCCAUGCACAUGGCAUGCAUGGGUCAGGGGGUCAGGGGUCUUUUCUUCUCUGAGCUCAUGGCGCCACCUCAACUGUUAUCGGCAGAUGCGCCGGAGGACAGACUGCCACUCUGAGGACACCCAGGACCCAGGAGACAUCUGAAUAUCAGUUGCUGACUACAGACUGUUCUAAGACUGCGAGCCCUAGACUUGCUAUGAAUGUGAACCAGUUCAGCUGAUGUGGACACCCCCUGUCUCUACAACAGUGUCUGCUAACCAGAAGCCCCUGAUGGAUUCCCCAUUGCCUAAAUUCCUUUUUGCUUUUGACUAGCAUUUCAACCUUCUGGGGUCCCUAACUUCGUCCCAAAGUCAGCAGGAAGCAGUUUGGAAAAGAAUUUCGCCGUCCAUUUUCCCUGGUUAAAAUGCUAAGUCAAAAGGAACUCCCUUACAUGGGGAUGCCAAUAUCUAUCACUCCCUGAUGGGGAUGCUAGAGAGACAGCAAUUCCAUGAUUGGAAUUUCCAGAAAAGAAAAUGGGGG